UACGGAGGGCGCAAGCGUUGUUCGGAAUCACUGGGCGUAAAGCGCGUGUAGGCGGCUUGGCAAGUCGGGUGUGAAAUCCCGAGGCUCAACCUCGGAACUGCACUCGAAACUGCCUGGCUCGAGUCCCGGAGAGGGUGGCGGAAUUCCCGGUGUAGGGGUGAAAUCCGUAGAUAUCGGGAGGAACACCAGUGGAGAAGGCGGCCACCUGGACGGUGACUGACGCUGAGACGCGAAAGCGUGGGGAGCAAACAGG
This 253-nucleotide ribosomal RNA is filed under the name uncultured bacterium. Its description in RNAcentral is "partial 16S ribosomal RNA". It matches the Rfam family "Bacterial small subunit ribosomal RNA", at positions 524 to 776 of the family's 1533-position model. The record is from RNAcentral.